UUGUCUUUUAAAUAAAGACCAGUAUGAAUGGCAAGACGAAAGUUCAACUGUCUCCCUAAAUUAAUCAAUGAAAUUGAUCUUCCCGUGCAGAAGCGGGAAUAAAAUUAUAAGACGAGAAGACCCUAUGGAGCUUUAAACAUAUGAUCAUUGCAAUACUAAUUCAAAUAUUAAAUAAAACAUUAUGAUCAAAGUUUUAGGUUGGGGCGACCACGGAGAAAAACAAAACCUCCGAGAUGAAAAGAAUAUCUUAAUUUAAGAAAUACAAUUCUAAAAAAUAAAAUAUUUAACAUAAUUGAUCCAAUAUAUUGAUCAACGAACUAAGUUACCCUAGGGAUAACAGCGCAAUCCUUUCUAAGAGCCCCUAUCGACGAAUGGGUUUACGACCUCGAUGUUGGAUCAGGACAUCCUAAUGGUGCAGCCGCUAUUAAAGGUUCGUUUGUUCAACGAUUAAAGU
Molecule: ribosomal RNA, 454 nt
Filed under: Pachyhynobius shangchengensis (Shangcheng stout salamander)
Lineage: Eukaryota; Metazoa; Chordata; Amphibia; Caudata; Hynobiidae
Description: partial 16S ribosomal RNA
Rfam family: Bacterial large subunit ribosomal RNA
Source: RNAcentral